UUUGAGGAAAAAGGAUUUGUUCUCCAAAACACCAAAAGCUUGAUGUCUCUAAGUCUCUUCACCAAGGAUGUAUAUUGUGAAGAUGAUAUGGAUGACUUAGAGAGAUUUUAGAUGCUAGUAAAAAUCCUCUAAGUGGCCGGCCUCUAUGUAGAAAAUGAGAGAAAAUGUUUCACCCAAUUUCUAUUAGAAAAACCCUAAUGAGAAACAAAGCUAUAAAGAUGACUUUAUACUUCAUCUCUUAGGUUAGUGGCAAACUUGCAAUUAAGCAAAAUUUCCCACUACCCUUGCUAUGGCCGGCCUCCUUUUGUUAUUGGGCUAAAUGCCCAUAUUUGUUUUAGUUGUCAUACAACUUAAACAUAAUGGGCCUAGUGGACCAAAACAAUUUUGGACCCUGAAGCCCAAACUAACUUAAAAGCCCAAUACGAACCUUUCGUAUAAUUAAUUAACUAAUUAAUUAACUUUGACCAUUCUUCAAUUAAACCAUUUAAUUGCUUAUCCAUUUCAUAUAAUUUCUUCACUAACAUCCUUAUGUGGUGUGCGAUCCAUUAGGUUCCAAUUAGCGAGGUAGUGGGCGAUGUUACUCUUAACGAUCGAUUGUGAAUUGAAACCACAUUUCAAUUCUCCCUUAAGAUUAGUGUUUGCUAAUCUUCAGGGCUUCCACAAACCAUGAGUGACACCUAGCAGCAUAUCAUGGUUACCCAAGCUAAGUAGAAUUGGUUGGAGAACCUAUCCAGUUACAACUACAAUGCAAUACGGUCCUUCUCUAAUACAAUACUCUUAAUUACAUUGUUUAAGUGAUAGUUUGUUUCAUGUCUACUAUCCAAUGUGAUACUUCCUAUAUGAUUCAUUUGAAUAUGAUUUGGAACAAAUUUCCUAAGUCAUAUUCAUUUGCUUUGGCCAAAGACUUUAGAAUCAUAUCUUAGAGUAUUCUCCCUCC
This 937-nucleotide long non-coding RNA is filed under the name Malus domestica (apple). RNAcentral describes it as "long non-coding RNA (MDOM_LNC020987)". Lineage: Eukaryota; Viridiplantae; Streptophyta; Magnoliopsida; Rosales; Rosaceae. The record is from RNAcentral.